GAUGAACGCUGGCGGCGUGCCUAAUACAUGCAAGUCGAGCGAACAGACGAGGAGCUUGCUCCUCUGACGUUAGCGGCGGACGGGUGAGUAACACGUGGAUAACCUACCUAUAAGACUGGGAUAAAUUCGGGAAACCGGAGCUAAUACCGGAUAAUAUAUUGAACCGCAUGGUUCAAUAGUGAAAGACGGUUUUGCUGUCACUUAUAGAUGGAUCCGCGCCGCAUUAGCUAGUUGGUAAGGGAACGGCUUACCAAGGCAACGAUGCGUAGCCGACCUGAGAGGGUGAUCGGCCACACUGGAACUGAGACACGGUCCAGACUCCUACGGGAGGCAGCAGUAGGGAAUCUUCCGCAAUGGGCGAAAGCCUGACGGAGCAACGCCGCGUGAGUGAUGAAGGUCUUCGGAUCGUAAAACUCUGUUAUUAGGGAAGAACAAAUGUGUAAGUAACUAUGCACGUCUUGACGGUACCUAAUCAGAAAGCCACGGCUAACUACGUG
This 497-nucleotide ribosomal RNA is filed under the name uncultured bacterium. RNAcentral's name for it is "partial 16S ribosomal RNA". It matches the Rfam family "Bacterial small subunit ribosomal RNA", at positions 28 to 507 of the family's 1533-position model. The record is from RNAcentral.